GAUCACGGAAGGAAGGCGUCAAUGAUCGUUGGAGCUCGGAUGCGGCGUCGGAGGCUGGGAUUCCGGCUCGGGAUUCCUUCUUUGGACCUUGGUUGAGAGGCGGGCUGGUGCGAGGAGCCGGACGCGAUCGCUGGGAGCUUGGAUCAUGGCUUGAAUAGGGAAGGAGGAUAGCUGCGUUGGAAGGAGCUGGGAGACACCAAGUUCCAUCCAAUUAGUC
RNAcentral lists this long non-coding RNA (217 nucleotides) under Phoenix dactylifera (date palm). Its description in RNAcentral is "long non-coding RNA (PDAC_LNC011259)". The record is from RNAcentral. Lineage: Eukaryota; Viridiplantae; Streptophyta; Magnoliopsida; Arecales; Arecaceae.